Molecule: ribosomal RNA, 733 nt
Filed under: uncultured bacterium
Lineage: Bacteria
Description: bacterial SSU rRNA
Rfam family: Bacterial small subunit ribosomal RNA
Source: RNAcentral
UGCAGUCGAACGCUUUUUCUUUCACCGGAGCUUGCUCCACCGAAAGAAAAAGAGUGGCGAACGGGUGAGUAACACGUGGGUAACCUGCCCAUCAGAAGGGGAUAACACUUGGAAACAGGUGCUAAUACCGUAUAACACUAUUUUCCGCAUGGAAGAAAGUUGAAAGGCGCUUUUGCGUCACUGAUGGAUGGACCCGCGGUGCAUUAGCUAGUUGGUGAGGUAACGGCUCACCAAGGCAACGAUGCAUAGCCGACCUGAGAGGGUGAUCGGCCACACUGGGACUGAGACACGGCCCAGACUCCUACGGGAGGCAGCAGUAGGGAAUCUUCGGCAAUGGACGAAAGUCUGACCGAGCAACGCCGCGUGAGUGAAGAAGGUUUUCGGAUCGUAAAACUCUGUUGUUAGAGAAGAACAAGGAUGAGAGUAGAACGUUCAUCCCUUGACGGUAUCUAACCAGAAAGCCACGGCUAACUACGUGCCAGCAGCCGCGGUAAUACGUAGGUGGCAAGCGUUGUCCGGAUUUAUUGGGCGUAAAGCGAGCGCAGGCGGUUUCUUAAGUCUGAUGUGAAAGCCCCCGGCUCAACCGGGGAGGGUCAUUGGAAACUGGGAGACUUGAGUGCAGAAGAGGAGAGUGGAAUUCCAUGUGUAGCGGUGAAAUGCGUAGAUAUAUGGAGGAACACCAGUGGCGAAGGCGGCUCUCUGGUCUGUAACUGACGCUGAGGCUCGAAAGCGU